This 277-nucleotide unclassified non-coding RNA is filed under the name Hevea brasiliensis (rubber tree). Lineage: Eukaryota; Viridiplantae; Streptophyta; Magnoliopsida; Malpighiales; Euphorbiaceae. The record is from RNAcentral.
ACCUUUUUAUUCAGAUAGCUCUGGAUGUGGCCAUGGUUUAUUUUUGGGGCAGGAGGUCUUUUGCUUAUUUGAUCCUUUCCACAUUUGUUGGAGGUGGGAUGCACCCCAUGGCUGGUCAUUUCAUCUCAGAACAUUAUGUCUUCAAGCCAGAGCAAGAAACGUAUUCCUAUUAUGGCCCCCUGAAUUUUCUAACUUGGCAUGUGGGGUACCAUAAUGAGCAUCAUGAUUUCCCAAGGAUCCCUGGUAGCAAGCUUCACAAGGUGAAGGAAAUUGCACC